CCAUGGAUAAAUCUCCAUGCGUUUGUCUUAGCUUCGUGCAUGGGUAAUUAUAAUGGCUUUUUGCUCAUUUGGCUUCUUCCAACACAAAAAAUGAUAUGAGAUAAUUUGUGUUUAAUUUCCCAUUUGUCCUAUUGCGUUUUUAACAAAAGAGGUGGUGAUUGUAAGAACUUGGAAUUGUAAAAAAGUGUCAACAAUUUUAGUAGAAGCAUAAAUCCAUAUGAAAAGUCAAAGAUUUAUAAACGCUAUUAAAAAAAUUAAGCUGAAAAUCAAUUAUAAAAUAAUGCUACAAGUAUUAAGGUGUACAAAGGGUAUUUUUUGUAGUUCUAUAAGGUGUACUUAGUGAAUUUUACAUUUUAAUUAAAAUAUUAGGGUGUAUUUAAAUGAUAGAGUGUAUUCAAUUAAUUUUCGUUUAGCAACACUCUACUAGAAACAUACAUAAAUAAGGUUCAA
RNAcentral lists this long non-coding RNA (450 nucleotides) under Prunus persica (peach). RNAcentral's name for it is "long non-coding RNA (PPER_LNC007326)". Lineage: Eukaryota; Viridiplantae; Streptophyta; Magnoliopsida; Rosales; Rosaceae. The record is from RNAcentral.